AUUGAACGCUGGCGGCAUGCCUUACACAUGCAAGUCGAACGGCAGCACGGGAGCAAUCCUGGUGGCGAGUGGCGAACGGGUGAGUAAUAUAUCGGAACGUGCCCAGUCGUGGGGAUAACGUAGCGAAAGCUACGCUAAUACCGCAUACGAUCUAUGGAUGAAAGCGGGGGAUCGCAAGACCUCGCGCGAUUGGAGCGGCCGAUAUCAGAUUAGGUAGUUGGUGAGGUAAAGGCUCACCAAGCCGACGAUCUGUAUCUGGUCUGAGAGGACGACCAGCCACACUGGGACUGAGACACGGCCCAGACUCCUACGGGAGGCAGCAGUGGGGAAUUUUGGACAAUGGGCGCAAGCCUGAUCCAGCAAUGCCGCGUGCAGGAUGAAGGCCUCGGUUGUAACUGCUUUGUACGGUAACGAAACC
Molecule: ribosomal RNA, 418 nt
Filed under: uncultured bacterium
Lineage: Bacteria
Description: bacterial SSU rRNA
Rfam family: Bacterial small subunit ribosomal RNA
Source: RNAcentral